AUGGACGGCCUCCUCCAUUGGGAUUUCUCCCCCGGCCUCAAGGUCGAGGGCUAGGUGCGUGCUCAUUUUGCACCUACGGUUCACUUCGUCCCCAACCCCAACUCCAAGGAGUUCUUCCUUGAAGUUUCUUUCUCCUAGGCCUCUUUUCCUCUCUCGGUGGAAUCUGUGGGAUUGGCCCUUCAAUCUUGCAUUGGU
Molecule: ribosomal RNA, 195 nt
Filed under: Triticum aestivum (bread wheat)
Lineage: Eukaryota; Viridiplantae; Streptophyta; Magnoliopsida; Poales; Poaceae
Description: partial small subunit ribosomal RNA
Source: RNAcentral